RNAcentral lists this ribosomal RNA (429 nucleotides) under Gemmatimonadota bacterium. Its description in RNAcentral is "Gemmatimonadetes bacterium partial 16S ribosomal RNA". It matches the Rfam family "Bacterial small subunit ribosomal RNA", at positions 355 to 776 of the family's 1533-position model. The record is from RNAcentral. Lineage: Bacteria; Pseudomonadati; Gemmatimonadota.
UAGGGAAUCUUCGGCAAUGGACGAAAGUCUGACUGAGCAACGCCGCGUGAGUGAAGAAGGUUUUCGGAUCGUAAAACUCUGUUGUUAGAGAAGAACAAGGACGUUAGUAACUGAACGUCCCCUGACGGUAUCUAACCAGAAAGCCACGGCUAACUACGUGCCAGCAGCCGCGGUAAUACGUAGGUGGCAAGCGUUGUCCGGAUUUAUUGGGCGUAAAGCGAGCGCAGGCGGUUUCUUAAGUCUGAUGUGAAAGCCCCCGGCUCAACCGGGGGGGGUCAUUGGAAACUGGGAGACUUGAGUGCAGAAGAGGAGAGUGGAAUUCCAUGUGUAGGGGUGAAAUGCGUAGAUAUAUGGAGGAACACCAGUGGCGAAGGCGGCUCUCUGGUCUGUAACUGACGCUGAGGCUCGAAAGCGUGGGGAGCAAACAGG